RNAcentral lists this transfer RNA (69 nucleotides) under Didemnum vexillum. RNAcentral's name for it is "tRNA-Ala". The record is from RNAcentral. Lineage: Eukaryota; Metazoa; Chordata; Ascidiacea; Aplousobranchia; Didemnidae.
AAUCCAUAGUUUAAUUAAAAUAUUAUAAUUGCAUUAUAAAGAUAAAAAAUUUUUUUUUUUUGGAUUUAA